Molecule: long non-coding RNA, 273 nt
Filed under: Corvus moneduloides (New Caledonian crow)
Lineage: Eukaryota; Metazoa; Chordata; Aves; Passeriformes; Corvidae
Description: lncRNA (ENSCMUG00000008451.2)
Source: RNAcentral
UAUGCUGGAGGACCAAACACCCUCGCAUCUGGAUUUGCAGCUGUCUUUGGCCAAGUUAGAUGAUGAGAGGGCCAUCGCUGGGAGGUCCUACAGAGCCAGCAGGAGGUGGGGCCAGGACUUUGCACAUCCUGCUCUUCCCAAGGGACUGGUGAGUCUGCGCUGAGCCAGAAGGGCUGCAGAACAUGGCAGUGCCCUGACCGAGCCGCUCUCCAGGAGACGCUGCCUUUAGUUUAGGUGGGUGCAUCUCCUCCUCUUCCCUCGCUCCCCAGCUCA